RNAcentral lists this ribosomal RNA (1536 nucleotides) under Triticum aestivum (bread wheat). RNAcentral's name for it is "partial small subunit ribosomal RNA". Lineage: Eukaryota; Viridiplantae; Streptophyta; Magnoliopsida; Poales; Poaceae. The record is from RNAcentral.
AUGGCGAUUUCCUCCCGUCUUCCAGCUCCUUGCUAUCUCCUCAUGGCGACUCUGAUGCUGCUCAUCAUCCAGGCACAAAGCAUCACUAGGCACUACGAUUUCAAUGUGCAAAUGGCGAACGUGACGAGGCUGUGCGCCAGCAAGAGCAUCGUGACGGUGAACGGGGAGUACCCCGGCCCGACGCUGGUGGCGCGGGAGGGCGACCGCGUGCUCGUCCGCGUCACCAACCACGUCGCGCAUAACCGCGGCACGCUCUGGUGGCACGCACACAUCUCCUGGCUACGCGCCACAGUAUAUGGCGCCAUCGUCAUCCUCCCCAAGCUCGGCGUGCCUUACCCCUUCGUUGCGCCCCACAAGGAAAUUCCAGUUCUCUUCGGCGAGUGGUGGAGGGCGGACACGGAGGCACUGGUAAGCCAGGCGCUCAGGACGGGCGGCGCCCCAAACAUCUCAGACGCUUUCACCAUCAAUGGCCUCCCUGGGCCGCUAUACAACUGCUGCGCCAAAGACACGUUCAAACUGAAGGUGGAACCAGGAAAAAUAUACCUGCUGCGCCUCAUCAACGCUGCUCUCAACGACGAGCUCUUCUUCUCCGUCGCCAACCACACGCUCACCAUCGUCGAGGUCGACGCUGUUUAUGUCAAGCCGUUCACUGUCAAGACCCUGAUAAUCUCUCCGGCCAGACCACCAACGUGCUCCUCACAGCCAAGCCGUUCUAUCCCAAGGCUAACUUCUACAUGUCCGCCGCGCCAUACUCCGUCAUCAGGCCUGGCACGUUCGACAACACCACCGUCGCCGGCAUCCUCGAGUACCACAACCCCCACUCCGCCUCCGAGUCAAGCUUCGACAAGGACCUGCCACUCUUCAAGCCGACUCUGCCGAGGUUCAACGACACGGGCCUGGUCACCAACUUCACCUCCAAGCUCCGGAGCCUCGCCACACCGCAGUACCCGGCGGCCGUGCCAGGGGCCUACCAACACCACACAGCUUGCGGCGGCCAUCAACAACAUCUCCCUGGUGCUUCCUUCGACGGCGCUCCUUCAGUCGCACUUCACAGGCAAGUCUCGAGGUGUCUACGGGUCAAACUUUCCGGUCAUGCCCCUCUCACAAUUCAACUACACUGGGGUAUCGCCGAACAACAGGAAUGUGGCCACCGGGACCAAGCUGCUCGUGCUGCCAUUCAACGCGACGGUGGAGUUGGUGAUGCAGGACACGAGCAUCCUUGGCAUCGAGAGCCACCCUCUGCACCUGCACGGCUUCAACUUCUUCGUUGUCGGGCAAAGGUUUGGCAACUACGACCCUGUGAAUGACCCAAUGAGGUUUAACCUCGUCGACCCCGUCGAGCGGAACACCGUGAAUGUGCCGGCUGGUGGAUGGGUUGCCAUACGGUUCCUUGCUGACAACCCAGUUGUAUGGUUCAUGCAUUGCCAUUUGGAGGUGCACACAACUUGGGGACUACGAAUGGCAUGGCUAGUGCUAGACGGGAGCCUACCGAACCAGAAGCUGCUCCCCCCGCCAUCCGAUCUUCCGAAAUGCUAG